RNAcentral lists this ribosomal RNA (429 nucleotides) under bacterium. RNAcentral's name for it is "partial 16S ribosomal RNA". It matches the Rfam family "Bacterial small subunit ribosomal RNA", at positions 355 to 776 of the family's 1533-position model. The record is from RNAcentral.
UAGGGAAUCUUCGGCAAUGGGGGCAACCCUGACCGAGCAACGCCGCGUGAGUGAAGAAGGUUUUCGGAUCGUAAAGCUCUGUUGUAAGAGAAGAACGUGUGUGAGAGUGGAAAGUUCACACAGUGACGGUAACUUACCAGAAAGGGACGGCUAACUACGUGCCAGCAGCCGGGGUAAUACGUAGGUCCCGAGCGUUGUCCGGAUUUAUUGGGCGUAAAGCGAGCGCAGGCGGUUUAAUAAGUCUGAAGUUAAAGGCAGUGGCUUAACCAUUGUUCGCUUUGGAAGCUGUUAAACUUGAGUGCAGAAGGGGAGAGUGGAAUUCCAUGUGUAGCGGUGAAAUGCGUAGAUAUAUGGAGGAACACCGGUGGCGAAAGCGGCUCUCUGGUCUGUAACUGACGCUGAGGCUCGAAAGCGUGGGGAGCAAACAGG